RNAcentral lists this ribosomal RNA (468 nucleotides) under uncultured bacterium. RNAcentral's name for it is "partial 16S ribosomal RNA". It matches the Rfam family "Bacterial small subunit ribosomal RNA", at positions 28 to 507 of the family's 1533-position model. The record is from RNAcentral.
GACGAACGCUGGCGGCGUGCUUAACACAUGCCAGUCGAACGGAAAGGCCCUGCUUUUGUGGGGUGCUCGAGUGGCGAACGGGUGAGUAACACGUGAGUAACCUGCCCUUGACUUUGGGAUAACUUCAGGAAACUGGGGCUAAUACCGGAUAGGAGCUCCUGCUGCAUGGUGGGGGUUGGAAAGUUUCGGCGGUUGGGGAUGGACUCGCGGCUUAUCAGCUUGUUGGUGGGGUAGUGGCUUACCAAGGCUUUGACGGGUAGCCGGCCUGAGAGGGUGACCGGCCACAUUGGGACUGAGAUACGGCCCAGACUCCUACGGGAGGCAGCAGUGGGGAAUAUUGCACAAUGGGCGGAAGCCUCAUGCAGCAACGCCGCGUGCGGGAUGACGGCCUUCGGGUUGUAAACCGCUUUCGCCUGUGACGAAGCGUGAGUGACGGUAAUGGGUAAAGAAGCACCGGCUAACUACGUG